CGGAGUAUAGCGCAGUUGGUAGCGCGCCUGGUUCGGGUCCAGGAGGUCGUGGGUUCAAGUCCCCCUACUCCGA
Molecule: transfer RNA, 73 nt
Filed under: Spirochaetota bacterium
Lineage: Bacteria; Pseudomonadati; Spirochaetota
Description: Spirochaetes bacterium (activated sludge metagenome) tRNA-Pro
Rfam family: tRNA
About the family: Transfer RNA (tRNA) molecules are approximately 80 nucleotides in length. Their secondary structure includes four short double-helical elements and three loops (D, anti-codon, and T loops).
Source: RNAcentral